UUAACGCUGAGGUGUGAUGACGAGGCACUACGGUGCUGAAGUGAUAAAUGCCCUGCUUCCAGGAAAAGCCUCUAAGCAUCAGGUAACACGAAAUCGUACCCCAAACCGACACAGGUGGUCAGGUAGAGAAUACCAAGGCGCUUGAGAGAACUCGGGUGAAGGAACUAGGCAAAAUGGUGCCGUAACUUCGGGAGAAGGCACGCUGAUGUGUAGGUGAAGCCCCUGCGGGCGGAGCUGAAAUCAGUCGAAGAUACCAGCUGGCUGCAACUGUUUAUUAAAAACACAGCACUGUGCAAACACGAAAGUGGACGUAUACGGUGUGACGCCUGCCCGGUGCCGGAAGGUUAAUUGAUGGGGUUAGCUGUAAGGCGAAGCUCUUGAUCGAAGCCCCGGUAAACGGCGGCCGUAACUAUAACGGUCCUAAGGUAGCGAAAUUCCUUGUCGGGUAAGUUCCGACCUGCACGAAUGGCGUAAUGAUGGCCAGGCUGUCUCCACCCGAGACUCAGUGAAAUUGAACUCGCUGUGAAGAUGCAGUGUACCCGCGGCAAGACGGAAAGACCCCGUGAACCUUUACUAUAGCUUGACACUGAACACUGGUCCUUGAUGUGUAGGAUAGGUGGGAGGCUUUGAAGCGUGGACGCCAGUCUGCGUGGAGCCAACCUUGAAAUACCACCCUUUAAUGGCUGGUGUUCUAACGUAGACCCGUAAUCCGGGUUGCGGACAGUGUCUGGUGGGUAGUUUGACUGGGGCGGUCUCCUCCCAAAGAGUAACGGAGGAGCACGAAGGUUGGCUAAUCCUGGUCGGACAUCAGGAGGUUAGUGCAAUGGCAUAAGCCAGCUUGACUGCGAGCGUGACGGCGCGAGCAGGUGCGAAAGCAGGUCAUAGUGAUCCGGUGGUUCUGAAUGGAAGGGCCAUCGCUCAACGGAUAAAAGGUACUCCGGGGAUAACAGGCUGAUACCGCCCAAGAGUUCAUAUCGACGGCGGUGUUUGGCACCUCGAUGUCGGCUCAUCACAUCCUGGGGCUGAAGUAGGUCCCAAGGGUAUGGCUGUUCGCCAUUUAAAGUGGUACGCGAGCUGGGUUUAGAACGUCGUGAGACAGUUCGGUCCCUAUCUGCCGUGGGCGCUGGAGAAUUGAGGGGGGCUGCUCCUAGUACGAGAGGACCGGAGUGGACGCAUCACUGGUGUUCGGGUUGUCAUGCCAAUGGCACUGCCCGGUAGCUAAAUGCGGAAGAGAUAAGUGCUGAAAGCAUCUAAGCACGAAACUUGCCCCGAGAUGAGUUCUCCCUGAGACUUUAAGUCUCCUGAAGGAACGUUGAAGACGACGACGUUGAUAGGUCGGGUGUGUAAGCGCAGCGAUGCGUUGAGCUAACCGAUACUAAUGAACCGUGAGGCUUAACCUUACAACGCCGAAG
This 1412-nucleotide ribosomal RNA is filed under the name Enterobacter hormaechei. RNAcentral's name for it is "partial 23S ribosomal RNA". It matches the Rfam family "Bacterial large subunit ribosomal RNA", at positions 1550 to 2925 of the family's 2925-position model. The record is from RNAcentral. Lineage: Bacteria; Pseudomonadati; Pseudomonadota; Gammaproteobacteria; Enterobacterales; Enterobacteriaceae.